UCUCCCCUACGGGACGCAGCAGUGGGGAAUAUUGGGCAAUGGGGGAAACCCUGACCCAGCGACGCCGCGUGAGGGAAGAAGGUUUUCGGAUUGUAAACCUCUGUCCUUGGUGACGAUAAUGACGGUAGCCAAGGAGGAAGCCACGGCUAACUACGUGCCAGCAGCCGCGGUAAUACGGAGGAUGCGAGCGUUAUCCGGAUUUAUUGGGUUUAAAGGGUGCGCAGGCGGACCAUCAAGUCAGCGGUAAAAUCGUGGGGCCCAACCCCAUCCCGCCGUUGAAACUGGCGGUCUUGAGGG
This 297-nucleotide ribosomal RNA is filed under the name uncultured bacterium. RNAcentral describes it as "partial 16S ribosomal RNA". It matches the Rfam family "Bacterial small subunit ribosomal RNA", at positions 333 to 648 of the family's 1533-position model. The record is from RNAcentral.